This 218-nucleotide ribosomal RNA is filed under the name uncultured bacterium. Its description in RNAcentral is "partial 16S ribosomal RNA". It matches the Rfam family "Bacterial small subunit ribosomal RNA", at positions 28 to 245 of the family's 1533-position model. The record is from RNAcentral.
GACGAACGCUGGCGGCGUGCUUAACACAUGCAAGUCGAGCGGUAAGGCCCUUUCGGGGGUACGACGAGCGGCGAACGGGUGAGUAACACGUGGGUGACCUGCCCUCAGCUCUGGGAUAAGCCUGGGAAACCGGGGUCUAAUACCGGAUAUGACUCCAUGACGCAUGUUGUGGGGUGGAAAGCCUUGUGCGGCUGAGGAUGGGCCCGCGGCCUAUCAGC